Molecule: transfer RNA, 72 nt
Filed under: Heterocephalus glaber (naked mole-rat)
Lineage: Eukaryota; Metazoa; Chordata; Mammalia; Rodentia; Bathyergidae
Rfam family: tRNA
About the family: Transfer RNA (tRNA) molecules are approximately 80 nucleotides in length. Their secondary structure includes four short double-helical elements and three loops (D, anti-codon, and T loops).
Source: Rfam by way of RNAcentral
GGGGGUGUUGCUCAGUGGUGGAGCACUUGCCUAGCAUGCACAAAGUCCUGGGUUCAAUUCUCAGCUUCUCCC